UGCGAGUAGUGGGCCUUUUAGGGACGGCAACCAUUAAAUUCUGAGACCGGCGGACUUGUCUUGUCCCUUCAUCGCUCUGCCGAUACCUAAUUCGACUCACCAAGCCACAUGCUGCAUUACCAACCGGAUUCCCAUACCUUGGUCUCCUCUUCACCACCCAUGGCCGCCCUCUUGCUACUGACUUCCUUUUCAAUGGAUUUCGAGGAGCUAAUGACGUGAAUUUGACUGAUUCUGCUACCAUCACAUCCGAUGGAGUCCUCCAGCUGACAAAUGCAACCGAUCAGGGAUAGACCGGCCAUGCCUUCCUUCUCUUCUCAGGUGCGCAUGCUCCACAUCCGUUCUUCUUCCAAGCCAGCCGCUCUCUCUCCUUCAGCACCGCCUUCGUGUUCGACAUCGUCUCUUUGACCGGCGGAGGCGGUCAUGGCUUGGCCUUCGUCGUCUCUCCCUCGAACAAUCUCUCCGAAGCCCAACGUGGUCCGUACCUCGGACUCUUCAGCCGAAACGACACCGGCAACUCUUCCAAUCAUAUAUUAGCCGUCGAGUUCGACACCGCGAGGAAUUACGAUACGGAGCGUGACAUCGACGACAACCACGUCGGCGGUCAACAGCAUCAUCUCCGACGUAUCCGAGUCUCCGUCCUACUACACGAGCGAGCACGAGAACGUGGCGGUGAUGCUGGAGAGCGGGCAACCGAUCCAGGCUUGGAUCGACUACGAUGGCGCCACCGACAUACUUAAUAUCUAUCGCAGGUUUUCGAGGAGUUCAUGUACGUCGGCUUCUCAGCUGCGACCGGGAAUCCGUCGAGUAAUCACUACAUAUCGGGAUGGAGCGGAGUUUCACGCCCUUUCGGCGACCUCUUCCCGCAGUGGAUAGGACCGUCGUCAUCGGUCUAAAGAGCGACUGUACCAAAGAUCCUAUCGUCAUCGGUCUAAAAGCGACUGUACCAAAGAUCAGAGCAGUGUUUACGAUUGUUAAGAAAUUUAUAGGCAGCUGAAAAAAAUCCUCCCUACUGAAUACGUAUAAUCAGUAUAAUUUUCCUAUUGAAUGUGUAUAAAUAG
This is a long non-coding RNA of Musa acuminata AAA Group (dessert banana), 1058 nucleotides long. RefSeq lists it as uncharacterized. The record is from RefSeq and is a predicted model, not a curated record. The transcript has 2 exons. Lineage: Eukaryota; Viridiplantae; Streptophyta; Magnoliopsida; Zingiberales; Musaceae.